CGGACGGGUGAGUAACGCGUGGGUAACCUACCCUGUACAGGGGGAUAACAGUCAGAAAUGGCUGCUAAUACCGCAUAAGCGCACAGAGCUGCAUGGCUCAGUGUGAAAAACUCCGGUGGUAUGAGAUGGACCCGCGUCUGAUUAGCUAGUUGGUGGGGUAACGGCCUACCAAGGCGACGAUCAGUAGCCGGCCUGAGAGGGUGAACGGCCACAUUGGGACUGAGACACGGCCCAAACUCCUACGGGAGGCAGCAUG
RNAcentral lists this ribosomal RNA (256 nucleotides) under uncultured bacterium. RNAcentral's name for it is "partial 16S ribosomal RNA". It matches the Rfam family "Bacterial small subunit ribosomal RNA", at positions 99 to 353 of the family's 1533-position model. The record is from RNAcentral.